GAAAGUGUGGUAUAGUGGUUUGAACAUUGGACUUCAACUCAGGAGACCUUGGUUCAAAUCCCCACUCUGUCA
Molecule: non-coding RNA, 72 nt
Organism: Phrynosoma platyrhinos (Desert horned lizard)
Lineage: Eukaryota; Metazoa; Chordata; Lepidosauria; Squamata; Phrynosomatidae
Source: the annotation of a GenBank genome assembly